Molecule: ribosomal RNA, 243 nt
Filed under: uncultured bacterium
Lineage: Bacteria
Description: partial 16S ribosomal RNA
Rfam family: Bacterial small subunit ribosomal RNA
Source: RNAcentral
GCAAGUCGAGCGAGAAAGCACUUCGGUGCGAGUACAGCGGCGGACGGGUGAGUAACGCGUAGGAAUCUACCCGGUAGUGGGGGACAACUUGUGGAAACGCAAGCUAAUACCGCAUACGCCCUAUGGGGGAAAGCGGGGGAUCUUCGGACCUCGCGCUAUCGGAUGAGCCUGCGUAGGAUUAGCUAGUUGGUGGGGUAAAGGCCUACCAAGACUACGAUGAAUAGCUGGUCUGAGAGGAUGAUC